Aegilops tauschii subsp. strangulata is the source of this 1302-nucleotide long non-coding RNA. RefSeq lists it as uncharacterized. The record is from RefSeq and is a predicted model, not a curated record. Lineage: Eukaryota; Viridiplantae; Streptophyta; Magnoliopsida; Poales; Poaceae.
UCCAUGCCAUCAGGAGAACACGCCAAGCAAAACAAAAUAAGUACUCAACGUAAUAAGAUAAUGUUGUUCAAUACGUCCUCUUUGAAAUGACCCACUAUUUCGUGAUCACUCAACUUAUAUUUUGGAAUCAAUAAAACACAUCAAGUACGUAGUUGCAAUGUUCUGAUUGAUAACCGGAAAUAAGCAGCACAUGCUUGUCGCGACUUAUCACCGGCAGUAUUGGCGACAAAUAACCGUCGCGUUUAUCACGUUGAACGUUUCAUAUUACUUUUUAAUACCCCCUCCCUUUCUUGCACUCUAUAUAAGAGACCCAUCCUCAGAUGCUACAUGUUCUUACAUCUGAGAAAAAACUUGCGUGCUAGUAAUGACAUAUUGUUGCAGUGUACAAACAUGUGUUCCAGGUGGUUGCCGCGCUGAUGAUAGUUGUCAAGCCUAUCAUGACCUGAAGCCUAUGCACAUCUAAGGUGAUAAUGAAGAUAAUUCAGUAAGGGGGCACAUCAAGGAAUUCAAAGCAUGGGUAAAUGGUAUCAUGAUAUAUAAUCAAUUUUGUUAUUUGUACUUUUGGUUACUUGGGAGAGUGUCUCAAUGUUUAGUUGUUUACAAUCUCGUUGUUUCACAAAUAACGUUCGACCGAGGCAGCACCUUUUCUUAGCUAGGAAUCAAAAGAACAUAUAUUUAAUUUAUUUUUAGCACAACUGUAUCAUAUAUACUUGCUCAUCAUUUCUGUAUACAAUGACAUGGUUGGCAGCUGGCAAGGCUGGAGACCAUGAAUGCAAAAGAACUAAUGGAGUAUGGUAAGGCAAACAAAGAUAUGUUUAGCAGUGAAAUGAGAGCAGCACUUAAGAAGCUUCUUCAGCAAAAGAAACAACAACCACCCAAGAAGAAAAACAAGAGCACUGCGUUUGGUCCAAUAUUAGGCGCAGUGUUGAAGUUCCACAAGGACGAUGAUGAUGACGAUGACGAUGGCGAUGGAAACCCUCCAGGAGGAGCUCCUAUUGCAUGCUGAAGGGUCUUUGUUACCCACCUUGAUCACAAUAAUGGUGUCCAGUGGCAUUUUUUAGCAAGCAUCUCACGGAUCGAUGGCAUUUUUGAGCAGCUGUAACUUCUAAUGGCAAAACUGAGUAGUGGGACACAACCGGUGGCAUAAAUGAUAAAAACCCUUAUUGGAAGCAUAGUAUAUAGCAGUGUUUUGAGUGCUUUGAGUUAGAGGGGAACUUACUUGGGCCCUUUGGUAGUAUAUUGAAUUUCCGAUAAUUGGAAGUUACUCCCAGCAUUGAAAUGCUCGGUCCGAAAAUUCAAAAA